Molecule: ribosomal RNA, 345 nt
Filed under: Triticum aestivum (bread wheat)
Lineage: Eukaryota; Viridiplantae; Streptophyta; Magnoliopsida; Poales; Poaceae
Description: partial small subunit ribosomal RNA
Source: RNAcentral
AUGCUUCGGCAAGGGAUUAUUUGGCACAGCUGCAGUCCUUAUGCGACUCCGGUGCUGUUAGUUCAGAAGAAAGAUCUCAGUUGGCGUUUCUGCAUUGAUUUCCGCCAUGUGAAUGCCAUCACGGUCAAGAACCGCUUUCCUCUACCUAUCAUAGAAGAAUUGCUGGAUGAGUUGGCUGGGUCUGUUUGGUUCACCAGUUUGGAUCUGCGGGCAGGGUAUCAUCAAAUCCGCAUGAAACCAGAGGAUGAGCAUAAAACAGCCUUCAAGACGCACCAUGGCCAUUACGAAUUUAAGGUGAUGCCCAAUGGGGUUACAGGUGGACCAGCUACCUUUCAGGGUGCAAUG